Molecule: ribosomal RNA, 235 nt
Filed under: uncultured bacterium
Lineage: Bacteria
Description: partial 16S ribosomal RNA
Rfam family: Bacterial small subunit ribosomal RNA
Source: RNAcentral
CGAACGGGUGAGUAACACGUGAGUAACCUGCCCUUGACUCUGGGAUAAGCCUGGGAAACUGGGUCUAAUACCGGAUAUGACUCCUCAUCGCAUGGUGGGGGGUGGAAAGCUUUUUGUGGUUUUGGAUGGACUCGCGGCCUAUCAGCUUGUUGGUGGGGUAAUGGCUUACCAAGGCGAUGACGGGUAGCCGGCCUGAGAGGGUGACCGGCCACACUGGGACUGAGACACGGCCCAG